AGCUACUUACGUCACAAGUAUUAAAUCUGAAGUAGCCACAGAGGCAGAAUACUUGAGAUACGCGUAUGGUAUCGUAUCGGAGUAUCUUGCUGAAGAUCUCUCAAAGAAAUUGGCACAGCACUUGAAUAUACCUGAUGAGACGAGAAUAAGAAACGCAAGCUAAGUAGUCCGAAAGAUGAAGUUAGCGAAAAGAAGCAAAGAAGGAUUCGGUUGAGGAAAGCCCAAAGAAGAGGGCAGUGAAGGAAUUAUCUAACCUGAAAAGAUCCACAAAAGUCCAGCUCCCGGUAAAAAGGAAUUGGCCAGACAGAGAGCAGCUGCAGGAUCCAAAAGUAUCACCAGUUUUUU
Ooceraea biroi (clonal raider ant) is the source of this 345-nucleotide long non-coding RNA. RefSeq lists it as uncharacterized. NCBI's taxonomy places the organism in Eukaryota, Metazoa, Arthropoda, Insecta, Hymenoptera, Formicidae. The record is from RefSeq and is a predicted model, not a curated record.